RNAcentral lists this ribosomal RNA (957 nucleotides) under Triticum aestivum (bread wheat). RNAcentral describes it as "partial small subunit ribosomal RNA". The record is from RNAcentral. Lineage: Eukaryota; Viridiplantae; Streptophyta; Magnoliopsida; Poales; Poaceae.
AUGUUGAGAGUCAUCAUCUCCCUCCUCCCAAUCAAAUAUGGGGCACGGACAACCCUCCUUUCCCGGCGGUGGCGCCCCCUAUGGAACUCCAGCCCUCUCGACCUCAUCAACACCCACGAGCUCUGCCAUGGCUAUCGCAAAAGCUUGGAUGCGUUCUCCAAGAUCCUCGGCAGUCACCUUGGCCCAAACAAAGGCUUUAGAAUGGGAAAGUUCCGUUCCAACGGCAAGGACCGAGCCAAGCUUGACGACUGGUUCCGAUCCCCCGCCCUAGAUCAGCUCGAGGAGCUCACUUUUGAUGAUGGCCAUCUGCGGUCGCUGCCAACGUCCGCACUCCACCUCGUGCCCACGCUGCGCGUCGCCAAGUUCAGGAACUGCCAUUUCCCGCCCCUUAAUGACGCGCCCGCUCUUAUUCUACCGCGACUGAAGCACCUCGAGCUCGUCGUCGUUUGCUUCUCAAAGGGUGACAUGGAGCGCCUGCUCCGUGGCUGUACUGCGCUCGAGUACCUUCGUCUUCAGGCGAUCAAUGGGUUGAGUACCUUCCACAUCACCUCCAUGACUCUCCGGACUAUUUAUGUGUGUUGCUGGUGCGGCAGGAAGACAUCACAAAAGGUGGACCUUGGUAUGGUCAUCCAGGACACACCUGCACUCGAGAGAUUACUUGUAGUUGAUCAAGAAGGUCCAACAAGAAUCAAUGUCAUUUCUGUGCCGAAAUUGACAGUGGUGGGCUACUCAUUUGACAAAUACCCCGAACUUGUUAUUGGAUCCACACCCGUUCAGAAAAUGAUUCCGACAAGCUUGACCCCGAAACACCGCACAGUGAAGGUCUUGGCACUAGAAUCUAUCGGGCCCGACCUGGAGCAAGUUGUCAGUUUCCUGAGAUGCUUUCCAUGCCAGGAGAAGCUAUAUAUCGAGGUUCUUUUGGAGGAUUUCAGUACAUACAUCCCCCCCCAUAGAUAA